RNAcentral lists this long non-coding RNA (984 nucleotides) under Homo sapiens (human). The record is from RNAcentral. Lineage: Eukaryota; Metazoa; Chordata; Mammalia; Primates; Hominidae.
CCCCUGUCUAAGGCCCCACCCCCACAGACUUAAGUGAAGACCCGCAUUCCUACUUUCUAUCCCAAAUGUUGCGUUUUCUAAGACCACUCUGGCCCGCCAUACCUCCAUCCUGGGCCUAUAAAAAUCCGAGACCCUAGCAAGACAGAAACGGAAGCUGCUGGACGACGAGAUGAAAAUAUCGGCCAAAGAAGACAAGCCACCGGACAUUGAGAGGACAUCGAGGGGAGCCCCCGCUUGUCGCACGCCCUGCCACAGGGAUGAGGGAACCUCUCCAGUUUCAAUAUAUGGAGUUUUGCUCUUGUUGCAUAGACUGGAGUGCAAUGGCGUGAUCUCGGCUUACCCCAACCUCCACCUCCUGGGUUCAAGCUAUUCUUCUGCCUCAGCCUUCCGAGAAGCUGGGAUUACAGAAUUCUUCAUUUUGCCUGGUGAGAAGGGGCGCAAGAACUACUGUUCAAUUGACAAUUCAUUCAAUUUUACAAGGCAUAUUUAUUUCUUCCUUCACAAUUUCAAAGAGUUUUGGGGGAGGAGAAAAACCUACUUCUAUUCACAAUUAGGAUGGCUCUGUUUGAGUUAAAAAUUCCACCCCGUGAAAUACCUUUGCUGAGACGUAAUGAAUAGUGUUAGUAAUGUGGAAGAGGCUCAAGUGGAUAGAAAAUUGUCAAAACUUUCAGUAAUCAAUAGGCAAAUUGUGCUUUAGCCUGAAUGACUAUUACCAAAUAGGCAAUUCAUCAUUUGUUAGCAUGUUAUAGCUUUUGUAAGAAAAUUAUUGUAAAACUGGAGCUCUCCCAUUUCAAACGUCGCUGUUAUUUAUUAAUGGUUAAUUAUGAAUAGUAUUGAGGUAAUAGAAAACAGCAAUACCUGUUAUCUAUCUAUGUCACUAUGCAUAUUUAUCUGUAUCUAUCUAUGUAUAUGUCAUUUUGGAAAAGGCAAGCCUAUAGUAAGUUCUGUAAUUUUUAUUAAAAAUAACAUAAUACUACAAACAUG